GGGAGUGUAGCUCAGUGGUAGAGUGUGUGCCUGGCACGCAUGAGGUCCUGGGUUCAAUCCGCAGUAGCGCCA
Molecule: transfer RNA, 72 nt
Filed under: Camelus bactrianus (Bactrian camel)
Lineage: Eukaryota; Metazoa; Chordata; Mammalia; Artiodactyla; Camelidae
Also listed under: 2 other names
Rfam family: tRNA
About the family: Transfer RNA (tRNA) molecules are approximately 80 nucleotides in length. Their secondary structure includes four short double-helical elements and three loops (D, anti-codon, and T loops).
Source: Rfam by way of RNAcentral